CAACAAUAAUCAUAAAAACAAUGGCUGCAACUUUAGUAGGAGGUGCAUUUCUCUCUGCUUCAAUUCAAACCAUAAUGGACAAACUAACUUCAUCAGAGUUUCUAUCAUUCAUCACCAACAACAACAACCUCAACAUCACACUUCUAAAACAGUUAGAGACAACACUCCUCACUCUUCAUGCUGUUCUUGAUGAUGCAGAGAACAAACAAAUCAACAAUCUUGCAAUCAAACAAUGGCUUGAUGAACUGAAAGAUGCAAUCUUUGAUUCAGAAGAUUUGCUUAACCAAAUCAGCUAUGAAUCUCUUCUAUGCAAAGGUGAAAAUGUUAGUGAUCAGGUUUGGAACUUUUUUUCAUCUCCUUUUCAAAGUUUGUAUGGUGAUUUGAAUACCCAAAUGAAGAAUUUGUGUGAAAGACUUCAACUUUUUGCACAACAAAGAGAUAUACUUGGUUUGAAAACUUUAGGUUUUAGGGUUUCUCUUAGGAGGGUUACUAGUUCAAUUGUUGAUCAAUCUUUUAUGGUUGGUAGGAAGGGUGAUAAAGAGAAACUUGUUAAUUUGUUGCUAUUAGAUGAUGGGAAUGGAAAUUGUAAUGUUGGUGUUGUACCAAUUUUAGGAAUGGGAGGUGUUGGUAAAACAACCCUAGCUCAAAUUGUUUACAAUGAUAAAGAAGUUGAAGGACAUUUUGAUUUAAAAGCUUGGGUUUGUUUGUCUGAGGAGUUUGAUGUUUUGAGAGUGUCGAAAACUUUGCUUGAAUCUGUCACUUCGAGUGUUUGGGAAAGCAAUAAUCUCGACUUUAUUCGAGUCAAAUUAAAGCAAAGUUUGAAGGAUAAAAAGUUUUUGUUUGUGUUGGAUGACAUGUGGAAUGAUAGUUAUAGUGAUUGGCAUGAGCUGGUGACUCCUUUCGUUGAUGGAAGAUCUGGAAGUAGGGUGAUUAUCACAACACGUCAACAGAAAGUUGCUGAGGUCACGCAUACAUUUCCUAUCCAUAAACUAGAACCUCUAUCGUAUGGAGAUUGUUGGUCUUUACUCGCAAAGCAUGCAUUCGGAAGUGAAGAUUUUUGUGGUAGUAAAUACGCAAGCCUAGAAGCGAUUGGCAGGAAGAUUGCCAAAAAGUGUUGCGGAUUGCCAAUAGCUGCCAAAACACUUGGAGGACUUCUGCGCUCAAAAGUAGAUGCAAAAGAGUGGAAUGCAAUUUUAAACAGUGACAUAUGGAAUCUUCCAAAUGAUGAUGUUCUCCCUGCUUUGCUUUUGAGUUAUCAAUAUCUUCCUUCUCAUUUGAAAAGAUGUUUUGCUUAUUGUUCAAUUUUUCCAAAGGACUAUCCUCUUGAUAGGAAGCAAAUGGUUUUGUUGUGGAUGGCAGAAGGAUUCCUUGAAGAUUCUCAGGGAAAAAGAACAAUGGAGGAAGUAGGUGAUGACUACUUUGUUGAAUUGUUAUCUAGAUCUUUAAUCCAACAAUCAAGUGAUGAUUUUGGAGGACAAAAGUUUUUCAUGCAUGAUCUUGUCAAUGAUUUAGCUACAAUUGUAUCUGGAAAAAGUUGUUGUAGGCGUGAACGUGGUGACAACAUCUCUGAAAAUGUGCGUCAUCUGUCAUAUAACCAAGAAGAGUAUGACAUUUUCAAGAAGUUUGAGACUUUCUAUGAUUUCAAAUGCUUGCGAAGUUUCCUACCAAUUGGCCACUGGCGGCGACAAUGUCACUUAUCUAAAAAAGUGGUUGUUGAUUUGAUACCCACACUUAGAAGGUUGCGUGUGUUAUCGUUAUCAAGUUAUAGAAACAUCACCAUGCUACCAGAUUCAAUUGGAAAUUUGGUUCAGUUGCGGUAUCUAGAUCUCUCCAACACUAGAAUUGAAACCUUGCCCGAUACAACAUGCAACCUUAGCAAUUUGCAAACCUUGAAUUUAUCAUAUUGCUUUCAUCUCAUUGAAUUGCCAGUACAUAUUGGAAAGUUAAUUAAUUUGCGUCACCUAAAUAUUAGUUGGACGAACAUAAAAGAGAUGCCAACAGAGAUUCUUGGACUAGAAAACCUUCAGACUUUAACAACUUUUGUAGCGGGCAAAAAGGAAGAUGGAUUAAGUGUUAGAGAGCUUGGUAAGUUUCCUAAUCUAAAGGGAAAACUUUGCAUUCAGAAGCUGCAUAAUGUCAUUGAUGUCGUUGAGGCAUAUGACGCCAACUUGAAGAGCAAAGAACAUAUUGAGGAGUUAGUGCUACGAUGGGGCGAACUAACCGAAGAUUCGCAGACUGCGAAAGCUGUACUUGAUGCACUGCAACCAUCAAUAAACUUGAAGAAACUGAGCAUCGACUUCUAUGGUGGAACAAGUAUUCCAAGAUGGUUGGGAGAUUCUUCAUUUUCUAAUAUGGUGACCCUUUUCAUCAGUAAUUGUAUAUAUUGCAUAACACUUCCACCUCUAGGACAGCUACCUUCUCUCAAAAACUUGACUAUUAGAGGCAUGACAUUGGAGACAAUUGGCCCAGAGUUCUAUGGCAUGGUAGAAGGAAGUUCGAAUUCGAAUUCCUCAUUCCAACCAUUUCCAUCUUUAGAGAUUCUACAAUUUCAGAACAUGUUAAAUUGGAAGGAAUGGCUUCCUUUUGUUUGCAACAAAUUUCCUUUUCCUUGUCUUAAAUCUCUUAUGUUAGUCCAGUGUCCUAAACUGAGGGGAUACUUUCCUAGCCAUCUUUUUUCCAUAGAACAAAUUGGAAUAUAUGGUUGUGAUCUUCUCUUGGCAACACCACCUACUCUGCAUUGGAUCUCAUCAAUAAAAACAAUAACAAUUGAGGGAGAUUUAGAUUCUGAAGUGUCGAAUGAAAGGAUCCAAUGGUCGUUUCUUGAUACUGAUUCUCCGUGUCAGUUGCAGCGUGCAUCGGUCCGUUGUUGUGAUACAAUUUUGUCUCUACCUAAAAUGAUUCUAAGCAGCAUUUGUCUUCAACACUUGGAACUUUAUAAUAUUCCAUAUCUCACUUCAUUUCCAGCAGAUUGUCUACCGACGUCAUUGCAAUUACUUAGAAUUAUUGACUGUGAGAAUUUAACAUUUUUGCCUUCUAAUAUGUGGAGCAAUUAUAUGUCGCUUAUGACAUUGGAGUUAGACAAUAGCUGUAAUACACUUACCACCUUCCCAUUGGAUGGUUUCCCUGUGCUACAAAGUCUUUCCAUCAACGGUUGUAGGAAUCUGGAAUCCAUCUUUAUUUCAGAUAGUCCUUCCCUCGCAACUCUUGAACGUCUGACUCUGGUUGAUCUUCCAAAACUGAAGUUAUUGUUUUGUGAAGGAGCUUGUCUACCUCCCAAUUUAAGAUCAUUUCAUAUAAAAUCCGUGAGAAUAACAACGCCUGUAACUAAAUGGGGUCUCCAACGCCUAACUGCUCUUUCGGAUUUUGGUAUUGGAGGUGAUGAUAUUGUUAAUAGUUUGUUGAUGGAGAAGUUGCUGCCUAUUUCCUUAGUGUCUUUGACUAUCAGUAAUCUCUCUGAAAUGAAAUCAUUAAAAGGAAAUGUGCUUCGACACCUCUCGUCUUUGGAAAGCCUUCACUUUCUGCAUUGUCCACGGCUUGAGUCUCUUCCGGAAGAGACACUGCCUUUAUCUCUUAAGUUACUGAGAAUCACAAAAUGCUGUCUGUUAGAAGCAAGGUAUGAAAAUCAGAGAGGGAAACAUUGGUGCAACAUUUCUCAUAUACCUGUCAUAAAAAUAAAUGGCCAAGUGAUAAUAUGAGCAAUGGAAAGGGAAGGAAGCAUUGCACUCCUUUUUCAGGUACCCUUUUCUUUUAUAUCACUAGCUAAGGAUAAUGUUCUUAAUUAUGUAUAUAUUUGUGAGUAUAAUAAUCUUGGAGAUACAUAAUAUUAUUUGCUCAAAGUUAUUUUUGAGGUUUAUAAUGUGAUUCACAAACUGUUGUCACAUGAUUCUUUGUCAUUCUAUUUCUUGCACCUUUGUGUCAAUAUGUUCAAUUGGUAUUUGUUUGUGUUCCAUGUCUUUUUACUACAAGGAAGUAGUGGAUAAUUUCAUUCAAGGAGUUAAUUUAUAUGCAAUGACAAUAUAAAAAUGUUUUACACUGUCUAGUAAUCACAACUGUCAAAUCAAUGGAAAUAUUUGACUUUUACUUUGACCACCUCUAAAGUCACAAAUAUGAUUGGUUGUGAUGGACGACAGUGUGAAACUUGUCGACGUUUGUAUAUUAAUGACACGUAUGUACUAUUAUCACCUUGGCAUAUAUUUGCAUUGGUUUAGAAGUUGUGGCAUUGGAUUAAUUCUUUGAAGAUACUACCAAUCAAUUUGUUCUCAGUAUGGUUUAGGUUGGGUAUGGCUCAUAGUUUACUAAGUGGACGCAUCACUCGAGCGGGCACAAUUGUAAUCUUGUAAAUGCAAAUUGUAAUUUGUAAUCCUAAGCUUGAAUCAUAAUAUAAAGAGAAUGUAAAAUCCCUCAAACAUGCUGUUGUAUCUUAUGCUAGAGGAUUAACUAGAGAUCUUUGAGUUUAUAUCCAUGGAUAUUGAAGAUGCAGAUUUUGUCAUUGCUAGUCUAGACAAUGCAUUUAUAACUA
RNA transcript from Cicer arietinum (chickpea), 4519 nucleotides. It is a transcript of the gene named putative disease resistance RPP13-like protein 1, with no coding region annotated. The record is from RefSeq and is a predicted model, not a curated record. NCBI's taxonomy places the organism in Eukaryota, Viridiplantae, Streptophyta, Magnoliopsida, Fabales, Fabaceae.